Molecule: ribosomal RNA, 200 nt
Filed under: uncultured prokaryote
Description: partial 16S ribosomal RNA
Rfam family: Bacterial small subunit ribosomal RNA
Source: RNAcentral
GACGUCAAGUCCUCAUGGCCCUAUGUGUUGGGCUACACACGUGCUACAAUGGCACUUACAAUGGGAAGCAAAGAGGCGACUCCUAGCUAAUCCCAAAAACGUGUCUCAGUUCGGAUUGCACUCUGCAACUCGAGUGCAUGAAGCUGGAAUUGCUAGUAAUCGCGGAUCAGCGCGCCGCGGUGAAUACGUUCCCGGGUCUU